AAUCAAUCGACUUUUUAUUAAGUCGUAAUAAAUUGAUGAAUUCUGAGUAACUACUUUAUUAGCGAACCGCAUGAUCUCGUAUCGGCGGUCUGUCGGUCAAGCAACUGCCUUAUCAGCUUGUCAUUAGGUUACAUGCCUAACGAGGCGUCAACGGGUAACGAACGAUUGGGGUCUGACAUCGGAGAGGGAGCCUGAGAAACGGCUACCACAUCUAAGGAAGGCAGCAGGCGCGCAAAUUACCCACUCCCGGCACGGGGAGGUAGUGACGAGAAAUAACGAUGCGGGGCCCAUAUGGGCGCUCGUAAUCGGAAUGAGUACACUUUAAAUCCUUUAACGAGGAUCUAUUGGAGGGCAAGUCUGGUGCCAGCAGCCGCGGUAAUUCCAGCUCCAAUAGCGUAUAUUAAUGCUGCUGCGGUUAAAAAGCUCGUAGUUGGAUCUGGGUCAACGGCGAGCAACCAUGUAGUGUUUAAAGCUAUAUGUGAUUUGCUAGACGCGUCGUAAAAGUGCGUUAUACUUUUUAAGUGUUUUCGUACUGACGUAGCCUGUGCGUGUUUGUAUUGAUAUAUUCUGAUCUUU
Molecule: ribosomal RNA, 576 nt
Filed under: uncultured eukaryote
Lineage: Eukaryota
Description: bacterial SSU rRNA
Rfam family: Eukaryotic small subunit ribosomal RNA
Source: RNAcentral